Molecule: ribosomal RNA, 460 nt
Filed under: uncultured bacterium
Lineage: Bacteria
Description: bacterial SSU rRNA
Rfam family: Bacterial small subunit ribosomal RNA
Source: RNAcentral
GACGAACGCUGGCGGCGUGCCUAACACAUGCAAGUCGAACGGAGAUGUUUAUUUCGGUAGACAUCUUAGUGGCGCACGGGUGAGUAACGCGUGAAUAACCUGACCCGAAGAGGGGGAUAACACCUGGAAACAAGUGCUAAUACCGCAUAAGACCACGGACCGGCAUCGGUCAGAGGUCAAAGGAGAAAUCCGCUUUGGGAGGGGUUCGCGUCCCAUUAGGUAGUUGGUGAGGUAACGGCCCACCAAGCCGACGAUGGGUAGCCGAGCUGAGAGGCUGAUCGGCCACACUGGAACUGAGACACGGUCCAGACUCCUACGGGAGGCAGCAGUGGGGAAUAUUGGGCAAUGGGCGCAAGCCUGACCCAGCAACGCCGCGUGAGGGAAGAAGGUUUUCGGAUUGUAAACCUCUGUCGCAGGGGACGAAGGAAGUGACGGUACCCUGUAAGAAAGCCCCGGCUAA